Molecule: non-coding RNA, 4569 nt
Organism: Heterocephalus glaber (naked mole-rat)
Lineage: Eukaryota; Metazoa; Chordata; Mammalia; Rodentia; Bathyergidae
Source: RefSeq, a predicted model, not a curated record
UUUGCUUUACCUCGCUUACUCCGGGAUCCGUGUGCUCCAGGGACACUCACGUGGCGCAGUGUCUGCCCCCUCCCUGUCCCUUUUUAUCGUGGGGAAAGUUGCAGGCUCAUAAUGUGAGAUCUGUUCCUCGCCCAGGACCUUGGGCAAGCAAGUCACUCGCCAAUCCUGACUCUCCCAGCUUCCUCGGGCCUGACGAGUUGUAAUAGGCGCUGCUGAGUCAGUGUAUUCAUUUAUGAGCUAAUUAGGGAUCGAACUUGGGACUUUCCACUUGCGAGGCCAGCGGCAGAACCACUGAGCUAAAUCCCUGGCACACUGGAUUUUGUCUUGAAAGAAAAAGGAAGCCAUUUUCAUCAGGGGAAUGAUACCAAAUUUGGGUUUCUGAAAGGUCACCCAAGCUGCAUGGCUUGGAAGGCAUGGGGAGUGGGUGUGGGGAGACCAAUAGGAGGCUGCUGAAGCUUUCCAGGCACAAAGUAAUAGUAACUCAGACUGGGUAGUGGCUUGGGAGCUGGAGAAGGAGAGGAUGUAAGAGUGGAUGUGGGUGGGUGCUGAGGCAUUGAAGUAACACUUGGCUUUAGUCUUGAGUCAGUGAAGGGCUGGAAGAGCCUUGGUCCCCAUGGCACAGCCUACAAAAAGAACAAACUCAAGAAGAUCAAAAGUUUGGCUGUUGGGCGGGGGAUUUAGCUUAGUGGCACUGCACCUUCCUCGAAAGCAUCAAGGUCCUGAGUUCGACCCCCAGUACUGGGUGGGGGGGAAGUUUGGCUGUGAAAAAUUAAGUUUGAGAUGCUUGGGCAGCAUGUAAGUAGGAGAGUGUAUAGCAGUUUUCCAUGAGUCUGAAGAACAGAAGGGAUGAUACAUCACAGUCCUGGGAUGUUCCAAGGGAAAGAAGGUAGAUAGAGAAUGGGCAGAGGAGGAGGAACCAGGAGAGAAAACUGAGAAGAGGAAGGACUAGGAGAGCAUGGGAUCCCAGACAAGUUUUCAAGAAGAAAGGAAUGUUAAGUAGGGUUAACUGCUGUGGAGGACAGAAAUGAUACCUUGUGUUUGGGAAGAGGAUUUGUGGACUAUGCCCUUUAUGUUGCAAGUUUUAAAAAAAUCACUUGGCUUAAAAAAUAAGUAGCCUGUCACUCAUUGGUAGAUGGAGUGGCUUGGCAAUCUGGCAAUGUCAUGAGACCGGGGUCAUUCCAUCUCUCAGUUGUCUUUUUGUUGGUUUCACGCUUAUGGUCACCCUAGUUCCUAGAGUCAUAUCCAAGUCAGAGAUGUUCAUUCCUUCUCUAGUUGAGACUCAGACAGGCCUAGAAGUGGCCUUUCACCAUUCUGCUGUUGACAGUGGUGGUGAGCCUGUGGCACAUAUGCUACAGCAGGCUGUUGGUAUCAUUGAAAGCUCUAAAAGGUUUGCCAUCACUGGGAUAAGGGGUUAAUGUACCCAUGCCAGGCACACCCAGUAUCCAACAUGAGAGGGAAAGAGAAGCCUUGUGGUGGAAACUUGUUUAGAAAAAGAGGAGGCUAAGCAUUGGAAGGAUCUGGAGCAAUUAAAUUUCUUACACACUGCUGAUGGCAGAAGAAGAUGAUGCAACUAUUUUAGAAAUCACAGUGUCUAGUAAUCUAAGCAUGCAUUUAUGUUAGGAUUUAAAAUUUCCACUCCUAAGUACUCAAGAGAAAUGAACACCUAUGUCUAUAUAAAGACCGUGUAAGAAUGUUCAUAGAAGAUUAAUUUAUAGCUCAACUGAAUAGCCUAGUAUCCAUCAACAAGAAACUGGAUCGACAAACUGUGACCUGUCCACCCAGUAGAGUUCAGCUGGCCCUCCACACCCACAGCUUCUGUAUCUAAGAUUUCAGCCAACCUCAGAUUGAAAAUAUUUCAACCAACCUCAGACUGAUAAGAAAUGCACAGGAAAUGAAGGGGUACCAGCAUCCCAGAGUGCAUAUGGCAUGUACUGCCCAGCAAGGAUCAGAAGAUCCAUCUUCAGAGCUUCGCAUCAGGUGCCAUCUGCUCCAUGAAGCCUUUGCAUUCAGUCAGCAAAUAUUGAUUGGACAUCUAAGAUGAGCCAGGCCCUGUGCUGAGCAUGGAGGAGAAGAGAAGACAGAUGCCAUCUCCAGUCUGGAGAGAAGGAAGUUGAGCAAUGUGCAUUUUCUUCCUAUCUCAGCCCCACAAGACUCAAGCUCCCUGAGGGCAAGGCUCAAUUUGGAUCUGGCCUGGAGAAGAUAGUGGCUGUUGCAGGAGUGAAUGAAAGAAAGGCUGGGGAAUGCUCCUUUCUUAUUUGUGCUCCAAGCCUGUGAUUUAGCCAGCAACCAGGUUCAUGGAAUUCAACUGAAAAUGAAUGACAAUUUGGGGCUAUAUGAUGAACUGAGAAGUGGUUAUGAAUAGGACAAACUAUUGUGAAAUCACAAUACCAGCUUUCCUAUAUCAUCAUCCUUACAAUUCCUUUUUACAAAAAUCAACAUUAUGUUCUUACCAAGACUUGGAUUCAGGAGAUUCAACCUGUACUGGAACAAUAGUUAAAGCACCCAAGAAUCUGUGUGAUAUCAAAAGAUGUAAAAUGUACUAAGAGGGCUGGGGCGUAGCUCAACUUUAGUAUGCACAGGACCUUGGGUUCAAUCCCUAGCACUACAGGGGGUGGAGGGAGACAGAGACAAAGAGACAGACAAAGGUGGAAGAGGAAGAGGAGAAGGAGGAGGAGAAGUUGUUGUUGUUCUAGGGUAGCACAGACUGUAGCCAGAAUGCUGCAAUUUAUUCCCAUUCCUCAUUUAUUAGUUGUGUGUCCUAGUGCAAUUUACUUAACCCCUUAACUCUUUAUGCCUUCUUUUUCCCAUCUGUAAAUGAGGAAAACAUUAGAGCCUAUCUGAUACGGUUAUAUACAGAAAUUCAAUGAGUUCACAUUACAAAGUGCUUAAAAACAGCAACUGCCCCACAGCGCUCAUGGCUACCUGUUAUUACAAAUGGAUAAAAUGGACUGUCUCAGACUAGGCAUGCUGUGGAUGCUUGUCCCUGGUUGGGGAGGCCCCAUCUUAGCCUGUUUUUCUGCUGCUACAGCUAGGAAGUCCCAGAGCCUGCCACCAUCCUCUGGGAGGGAUCUUUAGGGGUGGGUCUUGCUGCAUAGGGCAUCACUUGGAACAGAGUGACCUCGGGUUUCUCAUCCUUAAAAGCCACUAGUGCCAUCCUGAGGAUUGCACUUGCUAGACCUCAUUUAAUCCUAAUUACCUUCCCAAAGCCCCACCUCCUAUAUCGUUAACAUAUAAAUUUGAAGAUUAAGUUUCCAACACGUAAACAUUUUUUUUGGGGGGGGGACACAUGGCGACCCCUCCCAACCGUGGCUCUUAAGGAGACACAGCCAUUAGGCACAAAUCCCCAACCUUUCAAGACUUUGGGAGGCCUUUUUCUUCCCGCGGCUCCUUUUUCCUACCGCCCUCACUCCCACUCCCCCCGCCCCCCCUUCCUCGGCUUUUGUACCAGCCUCAAGGCUUCCUCAAUGCAAAGCAAGUGCUGUUUUAGCAAAGUCUAUGGUGACACCUAGAGGUAAAAUGGGGGAACUUCCCAACCUUAACUUGCCCGGACCAUUAAUUGAUACAGUGAUAUAUUAAACUCUUACUGCAUUCCAGAGACUGUUACAUGAAAUGUCUAGUUAAUUUUCAGUGUAAUCAUGUAAAAUAUAGACUGACUCACUAAAAACGUGAAGACCAAUAAAGAAAAAAGGGACUGUUCCAGUUCAAAGGAGACUGAAGAAGUAUAACAGCUAAAUACCACAUGUAAUUCUAAAUUCCACUCAAAAAGAUUUGCUAUAAAGGACAUUAUUGAGAAAGCUGGCAAAAUUUUAAUGUGGACCAUGAACUAGAUAAUAGUCAAUUAGAUAUAGUAUAUUGUCCAAUGUAUUUUCUUUUCCAAUGUAUUUUCUGAUUUUAAUGAUUAGGAGAAGUCUGUGUGGACCUGACCAGCUCAGGUGCAUGCAGUCCAAGCCAGGGCCCUGCCCAGACUCCAGCAGCUUGGGCCCACAGGCCCCAGCCAAAGGCCCACCUGGAAAGGAGUUGCACAGGUAUGUCCAAAUUCCAUCAGUGGGUGCAGGCAGGUCCCAGCGAGAAGCCCACAUGGACCAGAGCAGUGAGGAUGUACCCAGGUCCCAGUCAGGGCCCUGCCCAGAUACCAGCAGCUUGGGCCCACAGGCCCCAGCCAAAGGCCCUUCUGGAAAAGAGCUACACAGGCAGGCAAGCAACAGCCAGAGGCCCACCCAGAUACCAUUGGUAAGUGCAUGCAGACCCUAGCCAGAAACCUGCUCAGACACCAGUGACCCAGGUGCAUAACCCCCAGCCAAAGGCCCUCCCAGACAACAGCAAUGCUGGGGGCAGGCCCCAGUCACAGGCACUCCCAGAUACCAUCCUAAGAGUGCACAGGCCCAAGCCAGAACCCCACCUGGACAACAGGGCAGUGUAGGGAUUCAGAAGGGCACCAUACUGAACCUAGGAAUUGGCACAGUGGUGAGCAGGAGAGAAAAGCCCUCUUGGUGGCUUGUUGAGAAUUGAAGACCACUGGGCAAGCAAAAAGUUGCCUCAACAAAGGCGCAGCAGGCUGCAGCUGUUGAA